CAUCCUUCCCAAUAAGCCACUACAGCCCUUUUCCAUACAUCAGCCCAUUCACAUCCCUGUUCAGGGUCUCUCUCCCCUUCUUAUUAGUGAUUUUUUGUUUGUCUUAAUUCUUUAUUAUAUUUUGACUUCUACAAUAUAUGAUCUACUGCUUUUGCUUUCAUGUUUGAUUGCUUGGUUUGCCUUGAUCAGUCAGCUUGCGGUCAUGGUCCACGCCGCUCUGUGUAUGUGUGACUGUUUUGGUGCUGCUGGCUGGCAAUCGCUCUCUUUUAGUGCUCUGUGUUCCUCCCCUCUGCACUCAUACGUUUUCUUCCUUUUUUCCUUUUUCUCCAGAGUGCGGCUCCGCUGAUUGGCCGGUGUCAUCAUAUGACACGGCUGCUUCAGCGCUAAGGAGUGUGGGAAUUGUAGGCAUCUCAGCGACCAUGUGACCUCUGAGAUCCAAUCGCGAUGCACCCGCCUCCCCAACAGGCUAUAUAUAGCAUGAUAUGAUCAUUAUCUGUCUGCUACCAACAGGGUACUGACAGAUGUCUUUAUUCCUCUUAAAGAUAGGAGAUUAUCUGUGGACUUUUCAGCUGCAAUUGACUGGUCCUUGAUUUUUGCUGCAAACGACUAUCCUUUGACUUUCUAUCACCAGCUGAUGUUUGCUUGCACUCAGACUGUUCAUCUAGUUAAAUACUCCAUAUGAAUUGAGGCUCUUCAGUGCCCAUGUUAUUGUCUUACUUAAUUCCCCUGUAUUCACCUU
Long non-coding RNA from Rana temporaria (common frog), 739 nucleotides. RefSeq lists it as uncharacterized. Lineage: Eukaryota; Metazoa; Chordata; Amphibia; Anura; Ranidae. The transcript is spliced from 3 exons. The record is from RefSeq and is a predicted model, not a curated record.